Dromiciops gliroides (monito del monte) is the source of this 325-nucleotide long non-coding RNA. RefSeq lists it as uncharacterized. The transcript has 3 exons. The record is from RefSeq and is a predicted model, not a curated record. NCBI's taxonomy places the organism in Eukaryota, Metazoa, Chordata, Mammalia, Microbiotheria, Microbiotheriidae.
GGACAAGCCAGGCCAAGACUCCGGUUCUUUCUGCCUGCAAGGAGGUCUAGGAGGCAUGGUCCAGUGGCAGGUCAAAAGUCAAGGUGACUGGCAAUGGCCUGAGAUACAGCGGAUGACCUUCAAUGUCUGACCAAGCUCUAAGUGCUCCACAGUUUUUCCUGCCUCCACCAUCCCGGACAGCAUCGCAGAGUAGCAGAGUUGAAAGAAACUGAGGAGAAUUUGCUGGUCCAACCCACCUCUCUCAUUUUGCCAAUGAGAAAGCUGAGCCUUGCUUUUUAUCUGUCAGAUGGGGUUAACAAAACUCGGCCGCACUUUGUAAACCAUA